RNAcentral lists this ribosomal RNA (3004 nucleotides) under alkali sediment metagenome. RNAcentral describes it as "bacterial LSU rRNA". It matches the Rfam family "Bacterial large subunit ribosomal RNA". The record is from RNAcentral.
AGAGCGGACGAUGGAUGCCUUGGCGCCGGAUGGUGAUGAAAGACGCGGUUAGCUGCGAUAAGCUUCGGGGAGCCGCUAAACAGGCAUUGAGCCGAAGAUCUCUGAAUGGGGGAACCCAUCCCGGGUAAUUCCGGAAUAUCUAUUGCUGAAUCCAUAGGCAAUCGAGGCGAACGAGGGGAACUGAAACAUCUCAGUACCCUUAGGAAAAGAAAACAACCGUGAUUCCCAGAGUAGCGGCGAGCGAAAUGGGAAGAGCCCAAACCGAAUGCAUGUAAGCCUGCAAGCGUUGUGCAUCCGGGGUUGUGGGGCCUUAUCGGAGGGAAUUGCAGAUCCCUCGGCAAGUCAGAAAUCCAAUGGAUAGUCGAAUGGCCUGGAAAGGCUAACCAAAGAAGGUGAUAGUCCUGUAGGCGAAAUCUGUUGGACUUGCUGGGUGAGGUACCCAAGUAACGCGGGACACGUGAAACCCUGCGUGAAUCUGGGAGGACCAUCUUCCAAGGCUAAAUACAAGCCGGCGACCGAUAGUGAACUAGUACCGUGAGGGAAAGGUGAAAAGAACCCCGGUGAGGGGAGUGAAAUAGUACCUGAAAUCGUCCGUUUACAAGCAGUGGAAGAACUAUUGGAGCUGUAGAGGGUUCGCCCUCUUGGUUUCAAGUUCGACUGCGUACCUUUUGCAUAAUGGGUCAGCGAGUUACUCUGUGUUGCAAGGUUAAGCCGUUAGGUGUAGCCGAAGCGAAAGCGAGUCUGAAAGGGGCGUUGAGUAGCGCGGAGUAGACCCGAAGCCAGGUGAUCUAUCCAUGGACAGGGUGAAGGUCGAGUAACAUCGACUGGAGGCCCGAACCGCAGAAGGUUGAAAACUUCCCGGAUGAGCUGUGGAUAGGAGUGAAAGGCUAAUCAAACCUGGAAAUAGCUGGUUCUCCCCGAAAUAUAUUUAGGUAUAGCCUCACAAAUUAAGUAACGGGGGUAGAGCACUGGAUGGGCUAGGGGUCCUACCAGAUUACCAAACCCAACCAAACUUCGAAUACCGUUAACUUCUAUUGUGGGAGUCAGACAGCGGGAGAUAAGUUUCGUUGUCAAAAGGGAAAGAGCCCAGACCGCCAGCUAAGGUCCCUAAAUAUGUGCUAAGUGGUAAAGGAUGUGGAAACGCAGAGACAGCCAGGAUGUUGGCUUAGAAGCAGCCAUCAUUUAAAGAAAGCGUAACAGCUCACUGGUCAAGUGAUUCUGCGCCGAAAAUUCAACGGGGCUUAAGCAUAUUACCGAAGCUGCGGAUUUCUCCGCUUCGGCGGAGGAGUGGUAGGGGAGCAUUCCAUUCAGGAGUGAAGCCAGACCGUGAGGACUGGUGGACCGGAUGGAAGAGAUUAUGCUGACAUGAGUAGCGAUAAAGCGGGUGAGAAACCCGCUCGCCGUAAGCCUAAGGGUUCCUGAGUAAAGCUAAUCUUCUCAGGGUUAGUCGGUCCCUAAGCUGAGGCCGAAAGGCGUAGGCGAUGGAAAACAGGUUAAUAUUCCUGUACCACCAAACUGGCGUUUGAGCGAUGGGGGGACGCAGAAGGGUAGGCCAUUCCGGCGAUGGUUGUCCGGAUUCAAGCUCGUAGGUGGAGAGGGCAGGUAAAUCCACCCUCUCGUUAACACCGAGAAGUGAUGAGGAGGGAGUAAUCCCACAAACUGGCUGAUCCCAUGCUGCCAAGAAAAGCCUCUAGCAAGUCAGAUUGGUGACCGUACCGCAAACCGACUCAGGUAGGCGGGGUGAGUAUCCUAAGGCGCUCGGGAGAACUCUGGUUAAGGAACUCGGCAUAUUAACACCGUAACUUCGGAAGAAGGUGUGCCUCCGUUAGGUGAAGAAAUUUACUUUUGGAGCCGAAGGAGGUUGCAGAGAAAUGGGGGUAGCGACUGUUUACUAAAAACACAGGACUCUGCUAAGUCGCAAGACGACGUAUAGGGUCUGAUGCCUGCCCGGUGCUGGAAGGUUAAGGGGACUUGUUAUUUCCGCCUCGGCGGAGNGAAGCNUNGAACCGAAGCCCCAGUAAACGGCGGCCGUAACUAUAACGGUCCUAAGGUAGCGAAAUUCCUUGUCGGGUAAGUUCCGACCUGCACGAAUGGNAUAACGACUUCCCCACUGUCUCGACCAGGGACCCGGUGAAAUUGAAUUGAGGGUGCAGAUGCCCUCUACCCGCAGAAAGACGGAAAGACCCCGUGAACCUUUACUAUAACUUGACAUUGGACUUUGGGCUCGUAUGUGUAGGAUAGGUGGGAGACAGUGAAAUCUCGACGCUAGUCGGGGUGGAGUCGACCUUGAAAUACCACCCUUAUCGGUCUAGGGUUCUAACCUUGACCCGUGAUCCGGGCCGGGGACAUUGUCUGGUGGGUAGUUUGACUGGGGCGGUCGCCUCCCAAAGUGUAACGGAGGCGCGCGAAGGUUCCCUCAGGCUGAUUGGAAACCAGCCGUAGAGUGUAAAGGCAUAAGGGAGCUUGACUGUGAGACAGACAUGUCGAACAGGUACGAAAGUAGGUCUUAGUGAUCCGGCGGUCCCGUAUGGAAGGGCCGUCGCUCAACGGAUAAAAGGUACUCCGGGGAUAACAGGCUUAUCACGUCCAAGAGUUCAUAUCGACGACGUGGUUUGGCACCUGGGCUGAAGCAGGUCCCAAGGGUUUGGCUGUUCGCCAAUUAAAGCGGUACGUGAGCUGGGUUUAGAACGUCGUGAGACAGUUCGGUCCCUAUCUUCUGUGGGCGCAGGAUAUUUGAGAGGAUCUUUCCCUAGUACGAGAGGACCGGGAUGGACGGACCUCUGGUGUUCCAGUUGUCGCGCCAGCGGCAUCGCUGGGUAGCUAUGUCCGGAUCGGAUAACCGCUGAAAGCAUCUAAGCGGGAAGCCAACCUCAAGAUAAGAUAUCCCUUCCCGUGGAGACACGGGAACUGAAGACCCCUCGUAGACUACGAGGUUGAUAGGCCGGAUGUGUAAGCGCGGUAACGCGUUGAGCUAACCGGUCCUAAUAGGUCGUGAGGCUUGGCC